Molecule: ribosomal RNA, 253 nt
Filed under: uncultured bacterium
Lineage: Bacteria
Description: partial 16S ribosomal RNA
Rfam family: Bacterial small subunit ribosomal RNA
Source: RNAcentral
UACGGAGGGAGCUAGCGUUGUUCGGAAUUACUGGGCGUAAAGCGCACGUAGGCGGCGAUUCAAGUCAGAGGUGAAAGCCCGGGGCUCAACCCCGGAACUGCCUUUGAAACUAGAUUGCUAGAAUCCGGGAGAGGCGAGUGGAAUUCCGAGUGUAGAGGUGAAAUUCGUAGAUAUUCGGAAGAACACCAGUGGCGAAGGCGACUCGCUGGACAGGUAUUGACGCUGAGGUGCGAAAGCGUGGGGAGCAAACAGG